This 1703-nucleotide long non-coding RNA is filed under the name Olea europaea (common olive). RNAcentral describes it as "long non-coding RNA (OEUR_LNC003508)". Lineage: Eukaryota; Viridiplantae; Streptophyta; Magnoliopsida; Lamiales; Oleaceae. The record is from RNAcentral.
CACAAGGAAUCGUAUGGCUAUCAGGAACCAGCAAAUUAGACUCACAUGUAAUGUGAGAGCUAGGUUCACUUCCCUGAACCCGGAUAGAUUUUCAGUCUAAUGUAAAAGAAGAGUACUAGGUUGCUCAAAAUGACCCUCCAAAAAUAAUUAAUUUUAACGAAUAAGACCAUGACACUACAUAUGUAGAAUGCCCAAUAUACCCUUCAAUUGACAAGUUUACCAUAUGAUUACGAGAUAAAAUGAAAAUACUCAUCUAUUUAAAAAAUUCGCAACUAACAAACAUUAAACAUCCUUAGUUCCUCACGAGUGUACAAUUUACCAUACUAAACAUGUCUAUUUAAACCAAAAAAAAAGGGAAAUAAGAAAGAAAACCAAUAAGAUUUAAGUGACUUUGAGAACAUAAAAGAUCCUGUGUCUAGAUAUAAAACAAAUAUAUGCCGACAGGAAUAUCAAGAUUGCCAUGGAAGGUUGUGUGAUGAACGUUUAAGACUAACAGCAGACUAUUUGAGAGUGACAAAGACAGUAAACAUUGACCAAAAUGCCAGGAAAAAAAUUGCAGCCAGUGCCGACAAGUUUAUGCUUCCCUCUUAACAAACUAGCCAUUACGGUCUAAACCAGAGCCGCUACCUUUCUUUGGAAUGGCAAUUAUUGAACUAACUGUUCAGGCUUCUUCAUCUAUCAUUCUUGCAAGAAUUUUGGCAGUUUUUAAGUGUUGGGAAUAGCAAAAGAAAGAUGAGAAUUUGGCAGAAUUUGGGUGGUUUCUUGAAUGCUGCAAGAUGUUUGAUGAGUAAUUUGGCUUUUAAUGAGGAAUGAGUGCACUAAAUUUUGAGAGUAGACACAAACCACCACAGACUGGCCAGCAGUAAUAAUUUGGAACAUGUCUCAACGUAUGACUCUUGUUGCUAUAGUUUGAAUAUGAAUCUUAAAACCUAAUCAGGUCAGAAAAUACAAAUCAGAUAUACAGUUUCAACUCUACAAGAGUAUAUAGAAUAGCAAAUACAAUAUCUAUUUUUUUGGUAAAAAAUGAAAAGCAAAAAGACAGUCCAAAUCUUAAAAGUUCAAACGCAAUUUCUGAUAAAGAGAACAAUGAAUAAAAAUAUUUACCUGUGCAUAUUGCUGGCGUCAAAGAAACUUCCUUUACUAGCAAUACUUACUUUUAAACACAACCAAACAUGCUAAAACUCUUCGUGUGGUGUGUUCCAUGCAGUGCAUAAAUUUACAAAGAGAAAUAAACAAUGCGGAACAGGCUCAGAGGAUCCAUUGGUUUCUUAUAAUCAAGGGAAAGAACUCCCCUCAGAAAAUAGGUAGUUCUUAAUCAUCACAGCCCAUUAAGGAGGAAAUAAAAAGAACAGAUCAUAAAAAAUAAAAAAAAAAAAAAAAAAAAAAAUUCAAAAAAUGUAAAUUAAAUUUUGGGAAAAACGGACUUCCUGGAACCCAGAUAGAUUUUCAGUCUAAUGUAAAAGAAGAGUACUAGUUUGCUCAAAAUGAACCUCCAAAAAUAAUUUAUAUUUUAAUGAAUACUAAGACCACGACACUACGUAUAUAGAAUGCACAAUAUACCCUUCAAUUGACAAGUUUACCAUAUGAUUAUGAGAUAACAUGAAAAUACUUGUCUAUUUCAAAAAUUCGCAUCAUUUUCAGUGACAGCAUCUUUAGUAUCUUGAACAGAACAUGCCACUAACAAACAUCAUGCUUAGUUCCUC